This 469-nucleotide ribosomal RNA is filed under the name Bacillus sp. (in: firmicutes). RNAcentral describes it as "bacterial SSU rRNA". It matches the Rfam family "Bacterial small subunit ribosomal RNA", at positions 336 to 796 of the family's 1533-position model. Lineage: Bacteria; Bacillati; Bacillota; Bacilli; Caryophanales; Bacillaceae. The record is from RNAcentral.
UUCCUACGGGAGGCAGCAGUAGGAAAUCUUCCGCAAUGGACGAAAGUCUGACGGAGCAACGCCGCGUGAGUGAUGAAGGUUUUCGGAUCGUAAAGCUCUGUUGUUAGGGAAGAACAAGUACCGUUCGAAUAGGGCGGUACCUUGACGGUACCUAACCAGAAAGCCACGGCUAACUACGUGCCAGCAGCCGCGGUAAUACGUAGGUGGCAAGCGUUGUCCGGAAUUAUUGGGCGUAAAGGGCUCGCAGGCGGUUUCUUAAGUCUGAUGUGAAAGCCCCCGGCUCAACCGGGGAGGGUCAUUGGAAACUGGGGAACUUGAGUGCAGAAGAGGAGAGUGGAAUUCCACGUGUAGCGGUGAAAUGCGUAGAGAUGUGGAGGAACACCAGUGGCGAAGGCGACUCUCUGGUCUGUAACUGACGCUGAGGAGCGAAAGCGUGGGGAGCGAACAGGAUUAGAUACCCUGGUAGUCC